GACAGGCUCGCAGGCGUCCGUCAACACACUAUCGUUUCCGUUGGUCUCGGCUGGAAGCGCAGUCGGCGCGGAGGCCAGCAACACCUGCGCGCGCACACGCACUCCUCCUCUUCGUUCAUCAGUGCUGAUGGACUCGCACGUGCACGCGUAGCGAAACGUGCAGAACGCCUUCAUUGAUGCAUUGGUGAGUGCAGAGCGCCUUCGUUUGGGAAAGGAAGGAGAGAACACCGUUGCAAAACGGCGAAGAUACCCCGGAACCGCCACGCGCACAACACAGGGGCGCGCGCGAACGACGCGUGAAAUGGGAUGUUCCUUAUCAGCUGGAACGUGGCGGGGUGGUCGUCCACCUCGCAGGCGAUUCGAGAGAGCUUUGGCAGCAUCCGUGACUUCUUCGCAUGCACCGAGGCAGACAUAAUUUGUCUUCAGGAGUGCAAAGGCACGCUUGCCAAGCUGAGCGCGUCUCCCGUGGACAUGGGGGCUAGCGAUCCGCCCGUGAGCCGCCGACCCGUUGUCGCCCCCCUAGAGCGGCUGGCGGCUCAAGAGAAACGGCGACGGUUGGCUGGGUCGGUCGAGGGUGAUGCAUCCACCGUCAGCAGUGGCGGUGGUUGCAACGACGGCAUUGACGGCUGGGAGUCGUUCUGGUCCCUUAGCGGCAAGCAGCACCGCGGCUUCAACGGUGUCGUGACGUUUGCGCGGAAGGGCCUCACGUGGCGAUGUGACAGUCAACCCUUUUCAGAGGAUGCGUUCAACGAAGAGGGCCGCGCUGUGGUGACGUACCACAGCGCCUUUGUGCUCGUGAACGUGUACGUGCCAAACGCUCGCGGCGGGGCCCGGCACACCUUCAAGCUCCGUUUCCUGUACGCCUUGGAGAAGAAGAUGGAACAGCUGCGCAAGGACACAGGGAAGCCGGUCAUCCUUGUUGGCGAUCUGAACAUGACGUAUUGCGCGCACGACGCCGCCUGGUCUCUGCGGCGCAUCCACCUGGGCACUCUCCUGCAGUUGCAGACGUUUGCCGAGGUCAAGGGAGACACGGCGUGGACUGCCGCGCUCCCCCAUCUUUCGAAAGCGGCCGUGAAGCGAGUGGCAAACAUGAUCGCCAGUCAUUUGUGUGCACAGGCGCAAGAGAUAGCUGCGUCCAUGGACAGCAGCGCUGCCACGGCUGGGUCGUCUUCUGGCACUGGCGUUGUUUCCGUUGAUACGGAGGUCAACUCGAGUGACAACACGAUCGAUCGAGAAGCGCUGCAGCGACUCUGCACACUUCUCCCGCCGCGAGGCUCAGGCGGAACUGGCAAGGGAGUGCACGAUUACGAAUCACCGCCAGUGUCGCUGCGGGCCCUUUACGACGUCGGCUUUCGCUGCGCGUACGCCUCCGAUUUCGUGAAAAGUUCCCCGUGUCUCCACAACAGUGAACUGUACGCGGUGGUGCAGUUCUGCGGACUAGCCCCGCACUCGGAUGCGUCGGCGGAGUUCAUGGGCCGGCUUCUCCAGCUCCGCCUGCCGGUGUCUUCCUCAGCAAUGCCCCAGCGCUUGCCAUGGACCUCGCCCACAGAUGUGGCGGCUCGUCAAGCAGGGAUUUCGCAAGUACGCAUGUGGGACACUUUUCUGCUCACGAGAGAGAUGAUUGAUGCGUACUCUACCGCUCCGGCGGACUCACCACUGAUUGAUGUGAUGCUGCUGCGCGAGGUGGAGCGCCCAAGGCUGCGGCCCUACUGCCCGUGCCCGUACACGUGCUGGGAUCAGUCACGCAACCGCCGUCUCGAAAACGAGGGCACGCGACUCGACUACAUCCUCGUUGACUCCGCACUGCUCCCUGCGGUGGUGUGCCGCGCAGAGACAGCCAACAAUGUCCUUGUCGGAGUGCCGGAGCGGAGCUCAUCUGCGUCUACUGCGCCGGAGCCAUCGGUGGAUCGAGAGGACUUUUUCAGCGAACUGCAUGGUGCGCGCUACCGGGAUGGCGUGAUGCGUGCGAUGGCCAACGGCGCCUACCCCCCGGCGCCCUUCGAUGGCACCGGGAUGCCGGCGCUGAGUGAGCAAGCGCGAGAGCUGUGCUUUGCCGGCUUGCCCUCUACCGGCCUUUUUGUCACUCCACCGCAGUUCAGCGAUCACAUUGGCGUGGGCCUGCUCCUGGACUUGGCUGCACUCGGCACCGAGAGCGAGCUACUCCAGCGUUCCGGCAAGGUGAUCGAGGACCACAAGUGCAUGUAUCGACCACCCGUCGGGCUGCACACCUUCUUUGCCGCCGCGGCCGCCAAGAAGGCUGUGGUCUCCGUCGCCACGCCGCCUGUGCAGAGAGAGGUGGCUGCCGAUGACAAAGGCGUGCGCGAGGCGGAGGGCAGAGUAGCCGGACACAAGAGAGCUGCUGACAGCUGCGCACCGCUUUCUUCCUUCAGCGCUAGCACGAGCGCGAGGGCCGGGCCAACGGUAGCCGAUUCUCGCACUGAAGACGGUGCCGCCGUUGCUUGUGGCAACGCAGAUCCGUGUAUCAUUGACGUGGAUUCACUGUGAGCAGUGCGGUCGACGGGGCGGGUUGAUGUGUGCUGAUUUUUCUGCUGCCAAUUGUUCUGAUUCGUGGCUGUAAAUGGGGGAGAGGAGGGAGCAGCGCAGCGUCAAGCUACGCGAGCACGAACGCGUGUGCGUUCAGGUGACCAGGGCAGUGGUGGUGGGAGGGCAGGCGCUUCUGCGCACUCUGUUUCUCGUUCGCAUGAUAGUUUCACCUUCUGUGCAAGGCGCAAGCACCACAAACGACGACGGCUAUCUAGACCGUCGACGGCCGUCCGUUGCGUCUGGUGCGCGACACGAAGGCGAGACGCGCAGAAAAGGAGCACAAGAAACCGACG
This 2837-nucleotide unclassified non-coding RNA is filed under the name Leishmania donovani. Its description in RNAcentral is "gene:LdHU3.36.7320(CDS-product:endonuclease/exonu clease_protein-like_protein)". Lineage: Eukaryota; Euglenozoa; Kinetoplastea; Trypanosomatida; Trypanosomatidae. The record is from RNAcentral.